CAAAAACAUUCAUAAAACGUGAAGUAACUUCAUAGAAUGGCAUUGUUAAAGCUUGGUUUCUUUGUAGCUAUCCUUCUGAUGGCAGCUACAAUCAAAGCUGCACCAAAUGUUGAUCUUGAUGUCUCAAAGAUGGCGAGAAGACUACUUCCACAACUUAAUACUUGUUUGAGAUCUUGUGAAAAUAACAGUGGUUGUAGUGAUUGUUGGGUUUGCUGUACCUGCAAAGACUUUUUUGGAGCUAUUACAUUCAUGUGUCAGGCAUAGAUUUCACAAGUGUAGUACGUUGAAAUCAUAUAACAAUAAACUCAGCAGCAAAUCUGUUUAAUGCA
Nicotiana tabacum (common tobacco) is the source of this 329-nucleotide long non-coding RNA. RefSeq lists it as uncharacterized. The record is from RefSeq and is a predicted model, not a curated record. NCBI's taxonomy places the organism in Eukaryota, Viridiplantae, Streptophyta, Magnoliopsida, Solanales, Solanaceae.